CGUGUAGGCGGGCUAAUAAGUCAGUGGUGAAAUCUCUCGGCUCAACCGGGAAACUGCCAUUGAUACUGUUAGUCUUGAGUUCGGUUGAGGUAGGCGGAAUGUGUAAUGUAGCGGUGAAAUGCUUAGAUAUUACACAGAACACCAAUUGCGUAGGCAGCUUACUAGACCGACACUGACGCUGAGGCACGAAAGCGUGGGUAGCGAACAGGAUUAGAUACCCUGGUAGUCC
RNAcentral lists this ribosomal RNA (229 nucleotides) under uncultured bacterium. RNAcentral's name for it is "partial 16S ribosomal RNA". It matches the Rfam family "Bacterial small subunit ribosomal RNA", at positions 568 to 796 of the family's 1533-position model. The record is from RNAcentral.